GUGGGUUGUUAGAAAAGAAGACAUCAAGUUGGGAGAUGCUCCUGUGGGUCAGGAGGCAGGGAGGAGCUAGCAGGGAGAAAUGAGGGAUACAUGUGAUCAUAUUUGUUGUUUCUAUUAUUAUUAUUAUUAUUCCUAUGAAUUCUCAAACAUAAAGAACAGGAUGGGCAAUUGAGGAAGUCACCCAACGUUGACCUCUGGCCUCCACUCCCCCGGUCAUCCCCCAACCCCCACAACACAGAACCUUUUGUUUUCAUAGCGUUUUCAGGUUUAGUCAAGGCAGGGGGUGAAAACAAGACCACCUCUGAGAGGCUAAAGUUCUGGGGAAUGCUUUUUUCUUGGUACAUUUCCUGACUUUCUCUUCUUAAAAAAAAAUCUGUGUGCUGAGGGAUGUGCACCACAUGUUCUGUAAAUGUCAGGCUAACCUCAGGGGUCAGCACCUUCUAUCGUUUCGGAACACUGUCAUCACUGCAUAUCCCAGCCUUGCCUAUCAACACCCAGAAAGUCUGUUUCCUUCUCCUACCUUGCUAUACAGGGGUGCUGGGGUUUCAUGCUUGUGCUACAGCGUUUAGCUCUACACACUUGCAAGGCAAGCAGUUUACCCACUGAACCCUCUCUCCAGACUACACCCUGAUCUGGGGAGCAAUACCACCCUAGUCUUCCUUAGAUUAUCUCGUGACAAGGUCAAGACCUAGGAAUCUUUCCACAGACCUCUCUGAAGGCCUAGGCUGGUCCCCUCUCACUUGGAAUAUCUAGCCAAAUAAAUACACCAUGGGGCCAGAGCUCAGGAGUGUGGACCAUCUCAGUGAAGAUACACCAGGGUUGGCAGAGAACAUGAUGGCUCAGCACAAACCCCUGAACUCAAGCCUGAUCACUGAUGAAGGUGAUCACUGAUGAAGGUGAUCACUGAUGAAGGUGAUCACUGAUGAGGGUGAUCACUGAUGAGGGUGAUCACUGAUGAAGGUGAUCACUGAUGAGGGUGAUCACUGAUGAAGGUGAUCACUGAUGAAGGUGAUCACUGAUGAAGGUGAUCACUGAUGAAGGUGAUCACUGAUGAAGGUGAUCACUGAUGAAGGUGAUCACUGAUGAAGGUGAUCACUGAUGAAGGUGAUCACUGAUGAAGGUGAUCACUGAUGAAGGUGAUCACUGAUGAAGGCCCAGAGUCCUAUAGAUCCUUGGGAGCCAUUUCUUUACUGAACGGCACAAGUGGAGAGGUGUCUCACUCUUGCUAUUUUACUUCCUUGGUUUUGUUCUUUUAUUAGUAAAAUCAAAGGACGGUAUUGAUCGGGGAUGUUCACCUCUACCACAAGAGCGGUUUUCAUUCUGUUUAAUCCUAUAAUCCCACACAAGACCUUACGUUGUAUUUACUGUUUGCAUUUUAAUCAUCGAGGCUCCAAUUGAUUUACACCCCAUACCCCCCCCUACCAUAACCUUGACAAAAAGGGAGGAAUACAAAAGGAAAGGCUAAGACAGAACCUUCUAGAAAGAGCUGCUCAAGUACAUUUGUUCAGGGUCCUACAAUACACUGAGCAGUUUUAACCAUAUUGAUGAAUCACAUUAUAGCAUGGAUUUUUAAGGGGGAAAAAAAUCUGACUUAGGGACAAGCGUGAUUUGUUUUCUUAAUUGAAGGAUAAACUCAUAACAUGCUGAGAAAAAAAUCAUUAUGUAAUAUACUACAUUAUGAAGAUAAUCUAUUAAAGUGCACUCAGAAAAAUCAGAGAAUGGCGGGGGGAUCACAGAACAGUUGUUUUUGCCUGCAGAGCUACACAGGCAGAUUUUUAAAUGAUUCUGAAUUUGCUCUCAGAACCAAUCUAUAGGAAAAUGGCGAUUGUAAACAGUUAAGGUCGAAUUUUCCCUGUUUUCAAAACCUUGACCUAUCUGGACAGUAUAUCUUAACAUCAACAUACAGAAGAGUGUAAUAAAAAUAUUAGCAUUGCACUUAGAGGGAGGGGGGCCUCUUAACUCGUAUGCUCCACAACCAGCAACACUUCAACUUCUGGACAGCCCUACUGUCAGAAACCCACGUGCUGUGCAGUCCCUUACCACUAAGAAACGGACAAAAGUUCUGUCCCUGGGAAUGCAACCCGAUGGCUGCUGGCCCUGGAGUCUUCACUGAGUUUUCAUUUUUUUUUUAACUGUUUUUUUUUUUUUUUAAAUCUCUCGUCAUAGAGCGUCUCACAUUCAGGAAACAUAAAGUCAACCAUCUACAAACAGACUUUUAAAGGCUGCCUAUCCCUAACGUCUCACAAUGUUAAUAAAUCCCAAUUCCAACGCCCUCUGGAUGACCACUUAGCAUGCUUUACAGCUCGGCCUACUGGGAGAUAAGAGCAGGCUGUGAACUGUGCCCACCCUGACUCUAAAGGCCUAAACUCACGGUGAUGAUUAUUUUUUUUAAUUAAGAUUUCCAUUUCUUGAGAUCUUUCUGCACUUGUGGUUUUAAUCCAUCCUCAAGCUGUGCCCGGGAGGAGGAUGGGAGGCAGGCUAUCGCACACACUGCCUCUUCUCGUCUCUAACGGCCUUCUUUGUAGGGAAAGCUGUGCACAGACUGUGCCCAUCACGGCCGAUCCCUCAGAGAAUUCCGCCUCUGCGAGGGAGAUCACAGCACUGAAGAUUAGUGGUAACCUUUUGAUUUUAGCUCAGCCAAGGGUAAAAUACAUUAAUAUUAAAAAUGUAGAAGCAGGAAAAAUUUUUUUAGUGACCUAUUCUGUAGCCACAUCUAUCAAAGGACUUCCAACUAGUUCAAAAUAGAGGGUUCCCUUAAAAUGUAACCUCUUUUUAGGAGGACUUUACGGCAUGGUACAGGAGACAUAAGUUAGAAAAUUAGAUUGUCUUGGAAAACAUGACCAGCAUCUUAAAUCAAUGAAGGAUGCCUUAAAAAAGACCAAUUUUUUUUUCCAUAAUGGCAAACAUCAACACAGCAAAACAGAAUGCAAUUUUUCUAAAUAAAUAAAUCAAUGAUGUGUCAAAAAUUAACAGAUGAGUUAAUAUUCUCGGAGCCACCAAAAGCAGGUGGUGCUUCCUAAUAUGCAUCCUGCUCAGUCAAUCCCUGAAUAUUUUCUGGACCAUCGGUAUAUAAAAUAGGAUGCUGCUAUUUGUGAUGGCAAACAAAAGCAAUCAUGCCUGCCAAGCACAUAGUAUAACAGGCAGCAUUUCAGCUCUGCUAGACAGAAAGUAAUUAGAAUGCUUUUAAUGUCCAAAAGAAUGAUGCUGAUAGGCUGCCACAGAUGUGUAGAUUUAUGAAUAUUUAUAUGGUGGUUUAUGGCUGACACUUUUAUCAGUUGAAGAAGAUAAAAUAUCUGCCUGACUCAAAAGCUUGACAGUCAGGUUAAUAAAAUCUCAUUAAAGAGAAUGACCUAUGCAAUUAUAUAGGAUUUAUUGUAAUUCAUUUUUGAUUGUACUCUGCUUAAAGAUGCAAUUUCCCAUUUCCUGAUGCCAAAUUUAGGCUGCGUAUCAAGAUCUACGUGGGUUUUAACUCUAAGCCUCCCACAGAGGAAAAAUAUGCUUUUUAAACCAUGGUGUAUUACCCCUUUUAAGGAAAAUUAUACUCUUCAUGAGACUUUAUAAGAAUGUUGAAAAAAAUCUAUUUUUAAUCACAUAUUUCUUCUCCCAAUGGCUUGUAGCAUUUAAUGGCAAAUAAGACUCACUCCAACCCUUUCAUCUUUUCAGCAUAUUUACCCUGGACAGUCAGUCAUCUCCUCUACGCAGAGCUCAUUUACCACAAUGCUGUUUGACUAUUUCCAGCUGACAAGGUGGCCUGAACACUCAGCACAAUUACUCUGCUGAGAGAGAAGGCAACAGGCAGAGCCCCACCUGCCCCACCCCCAGGCGGUUAAAAGGCCCAGUCGAGCAGAGAAGCUCAUUGGCUCAAAGUGGCACCAUUAGUUCCUCAAAGAACCAAUCAGCUCUUCAGGUGGCUGUCCCUCUGAUGGCUACUCACAUGGCUGUGCCUGUUGAGAGAUGGUCUGCUCAUUAGUGAUUAAUAUUACCUUAGUUCUGUGGCUUCCCCCUCUACAUCCAGAACAUUCUCCAGGACACAGGGAAGAAACCUACUGUCCAGUUCCCAUCUUUCCAACAAACACCACUAGGUGGGCAUCCAGAGCCCCAUACACACACAAGAAAAGCCCCAACCAGAACAGCCUUGAGAAAACUGGUAAUAAGUUUGAAGGCAAAAAAAAAAAAAAAAAAAAAAAGAAGAAGAAGGAGCCGUCCUAUCCUUAGAUUCAGCAACAAUGGCUUCUAACUUGUGACAGAGACAAACCAAAAUAGGAAAUUGGGAAAAAAUACCCAGGGGAGGAGAAAACAGACCCCCAAAAAUUCCAAAUGAAGGAAAGACGGCAGAGUAACUUCCAGAACAAGAGCAGCCAUGGGAAGAAUGGUGAGAAACUGAGGCUGAGAGAAAUAACCCGGUGAGUGUCAGGGAAGAGCAACCUCCGGAUGCAAAUAGUAAGGAGGGGUAGGACCAUAGUAUUCUGGAGAAAGUCAAAGACUGAACCGCAAUAGCUUGAAGGAAGUGCUUUAUCAAGGGCUGAACCAAGAAGGUAAAGGGUUGGUCCCCAAAGAGUUGGCUGGAACCAACAUUAUACAAGAGUGCAAAAUAUGGGAAAAGGGAAAAGGACUCACACUACUGGAAAGCAACAUACAAAAGCAAAAAAAAAAAAAAACCAAAAAAAAACAAAAAACAAAAAAAAAAACACAAAACGCCAAGCAGGGGUAACAGACACAGCCAAGAAGUAGCAGGGGAGCCCCCAAAACAAGUUCCAAGCAAGACCCUGUUUCAAAACCAAAAGCCAACGGAACAUGAAAGCAGAGAAGAGCCCAACAAUGAAUAUAAAAACACAACACAAUGGGAUAUGAGGGCAAAGGCAACAGAGGAAAAAAAACAUCCCAGAAAUAGUAAGGAAGCCCACGUAAGAACUCCAAUUCAGAAUCGCUAACAUCUCCAAAUCAUUGGGGAGACGACAGAAACAAGGCUUCACUAUAACCUGUAAUUAGAUUUUCUUUCUCCAAACCAAUCCUUCACAUGUCAAAAUAUUGACAAACAGCAGAGCUCUUAGCAUAGGCAUCUAUAACUCCUUCAGAGACAAUGCCCAUCUAUUGUCACUAGGAAGAAAAAAAAAAUCCAACACAAAGUCUUAGAUUCGCUGACAAUCUGAAUCUAGGAGGCUCUUAAGUGCCCUGAAAGGCCUGAGCAGGUUCUGAUGAGCCCAUAAACGUGGCUGUGUGUCCUUCCCUCAGGAGCUGAGACUGGGUGCAGGCCUUGCUCAGUGCUCGCUCACAUUCCCUAGAGGAGAUAAAAUCUCGACCUCUGGAGCAGCAGAACCGCGGAUAAAGCUAGGGGGACUGUGCGCCAUGGACACCGGAGCGCACAGAGAACAAGAAACCCAGAGACCCCAGGAGGAGCCCAAGUGGUCCAGGUCUGCCCUACUGGGGCCGGGAUCUUCAAAGGUCAGCUCCCCCCACUCCCCCAGGCAAAGAACCUCCGAGAAGGACAAGUAGACCUCGGGCGGGCGGGCAGGCGGGAAAGGGAAGUGUGGCGUGGGGGAAAAAGUGAAGUGGCCGGGAAUAAAAUGGGCGUCUCCUCGGAGUGGCCUCAGCCCGCUGUCCCGGGGCCUGUCCCCUCCCCAGCUCCCCGCCCAGGGCCUGCUCUCUUCACAGGCUCUCCCGCUGCCCUCCCGGGUGCUCGCCAGGAGCCCGCACCCCACAGCCACCUGUUAAGGCGCGCGCGCCGUCGGAAGCUCGGGUCACCGCGGCGCCCCGGAAUCUUCCAGAAGUUACUACUGCCCGAGCGUAGCACGCUCCCGAGGCCCACGGGGACCACGGGGACAGCGCGCACAGCCUCUCCGGACCCCCCGAUUCCCACGCCCUCCCCCCCUCCACGCCACCUUCGGAGCUCCGCAAAGUUGCGGCCCGGGAGUCUGUACCUGCACUGAGCUCCAGGCUGGCGCCGUCGCUACCCGCGCCGCUGCUGCAAGCGCCGGUCGCCGGGCCAGGGCCGUACCUGACGACGGCGGCGAAGGACGACGACGACGAGGCGGCGGGGGCCGCGAGCGGCGGAGGCGGCGGCGGCGGUGGCGCCGGAGUCCUGGGAUGGCCCGGGGGCGCGGCGGGUGUGCAGGACGGCGACGACGACGAGGCGGCGGCGGCGGCGGGGGCCCGGCCUGACCCGGCCGGGUAGGACGGCUGCGUCGGGAACGGCGGCGGCUCGCUGCUGCUGAUGGGCACGGCGGCGAGCGAGGCGAAGGGCGGCGGCGGCGGCGGCGGCGGCAGCGGGGACGGCCGCGCGGGCGACAGCUCGAGCAGAGAGGGUCUGUCGUAGCGCUUGGCCAGCGCCGGCCGCCGGCUGGGGAACGUCUUGAGGACGCUGUAGGGGCCGCGCUGCUUGUAGAUGCGGGGCGCGCUGGGCCCCUCCUCCGCCGCCUGCAUCUCGGGCUCCAUGCCGAGUCUGAGGCCCUGCCCGCCCCGCGCGCGGCUCCGGAGGUGGCUCGGCCGCCCGGCCGCCUGCUCUACCCCGGCGCGCGCCGGCGGGAAGGCGUGUGUCUGCGCCGUGGCCGCCGCCGCCGCCGCUGCCUGUCGCCGAGCCUGGCAUCUCCGAGCCCCCGCGCGGGGGGCUGCCGCCCAGCGCUGAUUGACAGCCCGCCUCGCCAAUGCCUGGAGGGAGAAAGGAGGUAAGGAGCAAGUGUUUAGGGUAAUAUCUGCUAAUGAUGAUGGGGGCGGGGCGGGGCCUGGGCCCGGGCGGCCCGCGCGAUCGGCGCUUCGGACAGGGUCGUGGGGGGAGGUGGGGAGGGGGAGCCCGUGGCCCGAGGGGACCCGGUGGGGGAACGGAACCUGGAGGGCGUCCCGGUGGGGACAGGUGGAAGAGGUGGCGUCCCGGCUCUCUCGGCUGUGGACGUGAGGCGGCAGCGGUUGUCCGCAGGGUCCGAGCUUUGGAAAGGAGUUCCCGGCGCCCUCCUGCGUGACCUCCCAACUCUCGGAGUGCACGAAGGGGGUGGUACCUAGAAGUUAGGGCGGGGUCGCCAGAGUGCAAGGGUGGGACAGCAAGUUCUUCUAGAAGGAAGCUACACCUCCCUCCCCCCGCCCCCCUCCCGAAAAAGAACAUCUCGAAGGACUUGGCACAGGCCGCUGGGAGGUUUGUCCUGCCUUAGGGUCUUGCUGUCCCAGGUCUGGCGGCCGAACCAGAAAGCACUCAGGGCCUAGUGCUUCCAUACUGUUUCGCUUGUUCUCCAUAGGGAGCUGGGCGAGAGAGCACAGAGGCGCCAUCAUUUCUUUCCAUUCUACAGAUUUGAAAACUGAGGCUCUGAAAGACCAGAUUUGAAAACUGAGGCUCUGAAAGACUAAAGGGAAAUAUGCAAAUUCACGCAGAGGAGUUUGUGAGUGAAUUGCACGGUUACAUAUAGGUCUUCAGAAUGUAAAAUAGCUGGUAGACAGUGCAAUUCAAGGGAACAAAAUGAUCCCACGGUUCCCUUUGGGAUGGUGACUGCUUUGAACAUUAUUAUAUUAUCUAUGCAUAUACGUUGCAAGACCAAAGUGGCCUGGGAUCACCCUUUCCUUGCGUUGCUCAUACUACCCGGCACCACCGGGCUAAGGAUUCAGUGAUGAAGAUCUCAGUAAUUUGCCGAAGCUGCCCCGUAAGGUUCUUCAAACACAAGGAAGGGUUCCGGCCUCUGCCAGUCACUCCUUCCUGUCUCAAAGGGAGCAUCCUCUAGUUAGGCCUACCCCAAUCCCUGCAUCCCCUCUUCCCAAGCUUGGGUUUCAACCUCGUUCAUCAUUAUCCAGGUCCUUGAUGAAUGAAGCUCAUCUCUCCAAUCUGGAGUUGCUUUUUUAUUCAGAGCUAUCCUUCAGUCUUGGGAAAGUGACCCAUUUUCUCCUGGGGGCCAGGACUUUGGCCUCUCAUUUUCCAGAUCUCUCCCAUUGGAAGAGUUCCUCUCCCUUGCUGUUUCCAGAGUCUCUGCUCACCCACUCUGGACUGUCUUCCUCUCCUCAGCAAGCUCCUCUGAUAGUGCUGUGCCCCUCCCCCAUUUAUUAGAGAUGAAAUAAAUAAUGCCAUAAAUAAAAGUAUUUGGGAGUCCAGGAACUGUCAGGGCUGAUUAGGGCAUAGAGGACAUUUUCUUUCUCAUUAUGCAAAAGCAUUUCAUGGGGAAAUAAAAGAGGUUUCAUUGUAACUCAUGCAUGUCAUAUUUCAAGGAAUUCACGAUAUUAAUCAUAUUUAACAUUAUUUGCAGCGUUUCUUCUCCCUGGCUUCUGAAAACUGCUAAAUGAGGACACGUGGAUCACUGGGAAGAAAGGGCGGGCGAUGAGCAAGUGAGGGACAGUUAAGAAAUAAUGAAACGCUGGUGAAAGACAGAGAGAAUGAGAUGCCGGGGAGAUGUUUCUUAGGCACCGAAGGGAGAGGUGGGGGAGAGGCUCCCGAGCCGGGAGACAGCUGAAACUGAAUGAUAUACGGAGGAGAUAAAUGGUAACAACCCUCCCCUCACUUUCCUGUCUAGAGAGCAGUUCUGAAUUUUGCAUCGAAAUCUUUCCCUCCCACAUUUACUCCCUGAUAAUUUGCCAGUAACUCCCUGCUUUGGAAAAGAAAUUAGGGUGGUCAUGGUGGUGGUCAUGGGGCUGAGCAGAAGAAAACCUUCAGUCCUUUGGUAAGAAAAUGAUUUCCUGUAUCUGGGGCAGAGCUUUCUCUUAGAUUUAUUAAUUUUAUUUGUAUGAGUGUGUUGCCUGCAUGUGUAUAUAUGCACUGCAUGGAUACCUGGUGCUGGAGGAUCUGGAACUGGUAGCACAGUUGUGAGCCACCAUGUGGGUGCUGGGAAUUGAACCCAAGGCCUCUGGUUCAACAAGUGUGGCCACCUCUUUAGCCCUUAUGUACAUAUUUUAAAUUUAUGUUAACCUUGCCACUCAAACACCUUGAGAGACCGGGAACGAUACUUUCUUCAUGUUUUACUGACUAAAGGAACCACCUCUAUUUUAUAUCCCCAAAUAGCCAUUUCUACAAAAGUGAAUAUUCUAAUGAAUGGUUGCGGUAAUUGGGUUGGAAGCGUAGUCCCCAGUGCAACAGGAUUGGGAGAUGGGGCCCAAGAGUAGACAUUUAGUACAUACAGGCUGUGUCCCCAAGCUUGGAUCAAUGCCUGUUACAAAAGAGCUUGAGAUUGUGAGUGAAUUCUUGGGUGCUCGUGUGGGUGAUGCCUCUGCCACUGUAUGGUGCGUACUACAAGAAGGUUCUAACCGGAUGCUGCUGCCCAGCAACCCUGGAUGUCUCAGCCUUCGGAAUUGCAGAAAGAAACAAAAUAAAACAAAACACCCCCCCCCAAACCUACCUAAUUGAUGAUAUUCUGUCACAGCAAAAAAACAUAACCUUGUAUAGGGAACAAGAUAAGGAUUGUUGCAACAAUUUCUUUACAAUGUGAAAAUGCCCAGGUAGUAGAGUAUGGAAGAAUUUGGAAGCAUAAAUUUGAAAAAGCCUAGGUUCCUAUGAAUGGAAUAUUAAUGCUGAUUCUAAUAAAGACUGUUGCAGGAUAUUUGAUCACAUGGCCUCCUCCAGAACUCUGAACUGGAAAUCUUGUUACUUGUGGCUAGGUCCUCGCACACAGCUUUAACCCAAGAGCUGCAGACAAGAGCUAAAUAAAGUCAAUGGUAGGCUAGGAGAUAGAGCUAGCAACCAGUUGGUAGGGACUGUACAUAAGAAAACCCAGGAAACACGCCGUUAAUCCCAGCACUCGGGAGGCAGAGGCAGGCAGAUUUCUGAGUUCGAGGCCAGCCUGGUCUACAGAGUGAGUUCCAGGACAGCCAGGGCUAUACAGAGAAACCCUGUCUCAAAAAAGAAAGAAAAGAAAAGAAAACCCAGGAAAGAGAAAGGAGGGCCUUUGAGUUGAAGGGUGUAGGAGUUCUUUUCUUCGGGGACAUCAGGGACAUUGGGGGAGUAGGAAGGUCAGCUGCGUGGGUGCUUCCCCUGUCUCUUUGAGCUGGCAUGGUAGCUGGCUCCUGAGUCUUCGUUUGGUAAAUUGAACAUUUGGGAUUUGGUUUUAAAAACCACAGACGACUGGGAACUAUAGGUAAAGUGUGGGACUUUUUUUUUUUCAAUGAGCUUAAGCAGUUUUGAUCCGUGGUAGAAAAGUAAGCUUUGGUGGUUCAUGAGUGUAAUCCCAGCACCGUCCCCUCGUCUGGCACCCACUGAGGAGGCCACUCAAGUGGCCUGACCUGACCAUACCCAGACCCUAUUGAGGAAGGCGGGUGGAGAGAAGAGCAUUCUGAUGAGUGUCUGAUGGGAAUGAGGAAAUGAGCUGGAGUAAAGACUAUCUUUGUUUGAGCCGGGCAGUGGUGGCACAUGCCUGUAAUCCCAGCACUUGGGAAGCAGAGGCAGGCAAAUUUCUGAGUUCGAGGCCAGCCUGGUCUACAGAGUGAGUUCCAGGACAGCCAGGGCUACACAGAAAAACUCUGUCUCGACCCCCACUUCCCCAAAAAAGACUAUCUUCAUUCCACAGAACUCUGUGUGUGGAAGGCAAAACUUACACAUAAAGAACAGCGAAGUGCUAAGAUGUUUGGCAGAAUAAAUAUCUAAGUAGUCGCAAAGCCUUCAGAAGGCUGUGUAGCCUCUUUUGCCUGAGAAAGGAGAGAUGAUUUUAAAAUGGAAUUUAUAAUCGAAGGGAAUGCAGAGCAGAAAGAUGGGGAGAUUUUCAGCCUGGCACGGUAGGAGUGAAAAAAGCAUGCCCAGGAGAGAGUACUACGGGUAUAGCCAGUCACCCUUUUGCUCAAGAGAUUAUUUGGGCUCCCGUUGCUCCAGUUCUAGUUCCCAGGAUAAUGAGAGAGUAGCCUUAACCAUGUUUCUGAAAUCUUUUAGACAAGCUAGGACUUUGAAGGCAAGGUUUCCAGAAAGGCAUUUGCUGGCCAGAAUCACCUUGAAAGGCACCUACAUUCUGGGUGCAGCACUCCCUGGCUACUCCAGGUGUGCCUCAAGUUAGACUAGGUUAGCUUAGAAGGGCGGAAGUGGUGAGCUUUGGAAGUGUCUGUGUGGGCCAACUGGGACCAGUUUUCAAAGAUGUUAGACAGUUUGGAGCUUUAGGCAGAGACAUGGCUGGGUUACUACAGAGCAUUCCACUGAGGGCGGUGUUUAGAGAAGGCAAACACCUUCUCCCGCAAACAGUAGAGCCGCUAGUGUCCAGCCCCAUUCUGGGAAAGCCGAAUAAGUGAAUCCCAGCAGAGAGUAAAGAGUGUCCACCGAAUACUUCCGGGGCCCAAACCCUUUAGGGCAAUGAUCCUCAACCUUACCGAUUCUGCGACCCUUUGAUACAGUUCCUCAUGUUGUGGUGACCCCUCCCCCAACCGUUUUUCAUAACUGUAAAUUUGCUAAAUGUAACCAUAAUGUAAACAUCUGAUAUGCGACCCCUGUGAAAGGAGGUUGUGAACCACACGUUGAGAGCCACUGCUUUCGGGCCUCUAGGAGGUGACAAGUAGUUAUUCUGGGGUCCUAUGCUUUAAGUAUAUGGUUUAAAUACGAUGGCUCCUCUGUUGGGAACCGUCAUAUUUGUGGUUUUGAGAUAAGGUCUCACUGUAUCCAAAAGUGGCUUGGAAGUCACUGUGUAGCAGAGUACAGACUAGAAUUUGAAGUGAUUCCCCUGCCUCAACUUCCGAAGCACUGGGAUUACUGCAUGCUGGGGUUACAGACCUUGGCCACCAUUCCUGGCCUAUAGUUGUAUUUGGAUAAUGUGUUUGAGUUCCCUGACUCCCAGUUGGCAAGGAAUUAGCCUGAGGAUGAAUUAAAAUACCUGAUUUAAACGCCGCUCCUGGACUUAGGACUUGUAACCUGGCAUUGGAAUGAAUUUACACUUUGCGGGAUUUUGAGGUGGACACUUGUAUGUAUGUAUGUAUGUGAAAAUAGCAUGCAUUUUUGAGGCCGGGGGAGGGGGAGGGGGCACAAUACUAAUGAUUUGAAUCUGUCUCCCAAUAUUAUGUAGCAGAAACAAUCCCCAGUGUGACAGUGUUGGGAGCUAGGGCCCGGUGGGAGGUGGUUAGGUCCUAGGGGUUGCCCACCUCCCCCAUGAAAGGAUGGAUAUGGAGUAUAUAGGCUACAAGUAUGUCUGUUGUACUCCCUCACCCACACACUGUCUGUUGUGUCAUAGAACAGGAGGAAAGCUCUAGCCAAUAAGACCCGCAUCCCUGGACUUCCAAGUCUCCAGAACUAUAAGCCUAACAAAUGACACAUGACCCUCUCUGGAAUUCUGUUGUAGCAUCGCAGAAAUGAAUUAAGACAGUGGCUUAGCUUUGCUUCCUAUAAAAGGUCUCCUGGAAGAAACAUAUUAGAAAUGUAAAGCAGACACUUUUCAUAUCCACACACAGGCAGCGUCUUAGCCCGCAUCACAGAGAAUCGUUUUCCUAGCCGAGAGCACGUGUAAUCCAAACGCUAUGGACGCAGAGAUAAGAGAAUCCUGACUUUGAGGCCAGUCGGGACAGCUUAGUAAGACCCUGUCUCAAGACAGAAUUAAAAAAAAAAUGCCAGUAGUCUAGCUCAGCGGUGGAGUAGACCCCUUUAAGUUGUGAUUAUCACCCCUCCCACCUGGGUUAUACUGAACCCAGAGCUGUGUGUGGAUGUGUGGAGCAGAGCCUGCUUGACCUUGGCUGACCAGAACACUGCGAUUGUGGAUUGAUGGACAGACACUCAGGACCAAAGUUACUCUGGGCUCCUUAGGCCCUUUCCUAUCCUUCCCUUUCAACCCCGUAUCUGUUCUAACAUCCUUGUGAGCGGGUUAAGAUCUUACAGUAAGUCACUAACCUUAGGGGACCUGUGACUUCCACCAACUCUAAAGCUAAGAGUAUUCUGACAUCUCGGCCUGUAGAGAAGACUUCCUUUCCACCGUGCGGUAGCUUCUCCGAAAUUGUCUAUCAGUGAUCUUGAAAUGUGUCUGUUUAUCACCUUUGUUCUGUGGCUGUGAACAAAGCCUCUUCUACAGUGGAACGUGCUGUUCAGAGAAGCUCUAAUCUGUGUCCUAACCCAUGGUCACUGUCUUUGCCUAAGAAUAAGCUGUUUUCUUUUCUCUUUGAAUGCCAAGUUGUUGCUUUGGUAUAAACACAAUAGAGCUAGGCACUUUUUAAAAAUUACAUUUAUUUCUUAUUGAUUACAUGUAUUUAUGUGUCUGGGUACAUGUGAAGGUCAGAGGACAUCUUGCUUGAGUUGGUUCUGUCCUUUCUUAAUAAAUUCUCUUUUUUUCUAGAUUUAUUUAUUGUUAUAUUUAAGUACACUGUUAGCUGUCUUCAGACAGGGCGUCAGAUCUCAUUACCGAUGAUUAUGAGCCACCAUGUGGUUGCUGGGAUUUGAACUCAGGACCUUAGGAAGAGCAGUCAGUGCUCUUAACCGCUGAGCCAUCUCACCAGCCCAGAGCUAGGCACUUAACAAAGCCAUAAGUAACACUCAGUAAACAUCUUGCUCUGCUCUGUAGUCUGAGUCAUAGGACAGUGACUUCAUCAUUAUCUGCUCUUGGGGGCCUUACAGAGAUGGUAAUGACACUCAUGCUUUCUACCUCUUUAGAUAUUUACUCUUAUCUCAAAAAUACGAGAUAGUGACCUUUUGAAAACCAAGGGGCUAUAUAUGGACAGGGUGAGUUUUUUGAUUGGCAGCCUGUCAAUUCCUUGAGCCAUCUAGAAUAUAGCUUUUAAAUAAUAACUCAGCCAUGGGAAAUGCUUUUUAUUGCACCAAUUUCAAUGAUAUUUAAUGAGCUUCUGAUUGACUGUUUGAUCUCCCAAUGUUUUGUGCUACUUUUAAUUCAUUUCGUAUAAUAGAAAAAAAAAGUAAUUGGAAUAAAAUUUUGUGACAAGAUAAUGACCUUCCACUUUGAAAUUAAAUGUCUGAUUAGCUUCAACAUUUUAAUGCCGAGAUGAUACUGCAGCAGGCACGGGAGUGUGCGUACUGUCAUUCCAUAGGAAGUGACUGAGAAAUACGCCUUUGCUUUACUUAUUGCAUGGUGAAUGGGCGUGGUGUCUACAGAAUCAUAGAUGUGCAGGCCUAGAGGAAACGCUGCAGUCUGACCGAACCCAUGUCUGUAGUUUUUAACAACUCUGCUACACGGUUGUACAAACCAUGUUUCGGUACCAGUGAUGGAGAUCUCACUGCCUCCAAACACUUCAUCCAUUCACCCGGAUAUUAGUCAAAAAUAUUUAUUGUGUGUUUACUAUGCUAGGUGUCUUUGUGGGCACCGAGGGAUAUAAUGGUGAGACGUACCAGGGUCCAUUGAGGGAAUAAGGAGAAGAUAAUAAAUUAGUUGCCAACUUGCAAAUUUUUGAGAGCCGCAAUUACUGAGAAAGGUGGGUAAAGGGUGUUCCCGUCCAGCCUCUUUUCCUUCCACAUAACUAAGGAAGUCUCAAAUCUUCUACCUGGUUGAGGGUGACCUUGAAAACAGAGAAGACCGCCGUUAGGUGGGUUGAUUUGGAUAGCAGAGAGAAAGGCAAGAGGUUAGGCGUGUCAGGCAAAUGGCGGAACCAAGGGCCAAGAGCAGGUGGGGACUGAGCAGGGCAAGGUUUGCCAAAAGAAUAUCAGAGACUUGUUCUAACUGCAGUGCCGACUCCGGAGGGACCUGACCUGUGGAGUGACAUGAGCAGAUUGAUGUUAUUAAAAUCUAAUUUUCAGCCAGGCAGUGGAAUUGCACGCUUUUAAUCCCAGCACUUGGGAAGCAGAGGCAGAGGGAUCUCUGAGUUCUAGGCCAGACUGGUUCCAAAGUGAGUUCCAGGACAGCCAGGGCUACAUACACAGGGAAACCCUGUCUCGAGAAAACAAAUGAAACAACAGAAAAGACCAUUUUCAGAAAAGGUACAACCGUGACUCUUAUAAAGACAGUAAAAACAAGCAUGUGCUAGAGAUUUUAUUAGGUGUACUUGAUAGCCUCAUGGUUUCAAAGGAAAUGCUAGUAUCGAGAGAAGAAAGGAAGGCUAACAAAAUGUGUAGAUUCAUUUUUCCACCGGAAGUGGGCAAAGGCGGAAGGGAGCCUUUUCCAGAAAGGAUAACUUGGAUGUCUAGUAAUUAUCUGAACUUGAAAAGUAGAAAAAUCAAUCAAUCAAUCAAUCAAUCAAAUUAAAACCAGUGGAAGAAAAUGAGUUUCAGCAGAUAACUACAAACCAAGAGCCAUUAGACACAACAGCGUGACCCUAUGAAACCUAGUAUUUUCUGCACUGCUUUUUAGAAAACAAAAGGACCAUUUUAAAGAUCAUUUUCAAUUCACAGGAGGUCAAAAAGACGGAAUAGAGAGUCCCAGAUACCUUGUAUCUAGUUUUUACAAGGAGCACACCUUGUGCUAUUAUGUUCGUUGCAUGAAAUAUACACCCUUUUGAGGAUUCGCAUGUAACUCAAGGCCAUUGAGACUCACCUGUUUGCUACACACAUGCAUAGUAUGUUCCUUUUUAUGACUGGAGAGUAGCCUUUGGUAUGGAUGCACUAUAUGCUUUUAGCCAGUCCUUUUUUGUGGGAUAUUAUGGCUGUUAGCAGUCUGGAGGGAUUAUAUGCAUCUAGCCAACCUCAACAAUGCUGUGCAGGUUUUUUUUUGUGUGUGUGAAGGUAAGUUUGGUUUGGUUUGGUUUGGUUUGGUCUGGUUUGGUCUGGUUUUUCCAAAUAGGAUCUUUCUCUGUCCUAGAACUUGCUCUGUAGACCAGGCUGGCCUUAAACUCAGAGAUCUGCCUGCCUCUGGCUCCUGUGUGCUGUGAUUAAAAUGAUUAAAGGGAUUAAAGGCCUAUAUUUACUACUGCAUGGUAAUUCUUAUUCUCUGGGGCCAAGUGGCUAAGAAUGGGCUGUCAGUGUGCUUUAAUGUGUCUUAACAAUUCUCCUUUUUUUUUUUUUCUUACAGGAUUUGUCUGACAGCAGAGAGAGUUUUCAAAUCAGCAGCUGUGUGAUCCUUUUAAAAUAGAAUUGUGCUUCUCUUGGGUGGGUGUGGUGAUAUAUGCCUAUGAUCCCAGCAUUUGGGAGGCAGAAGCAGGCAGACCUCUGUUAGUUCAAGGCCAAGCUAGUGUACAUCAUGAUAUCUGGGACAGUCAUAGGGCUACAUAGUAACACCCUGUAGAGACCGUGUCUUAAAACAAAACAAGACAAAACAAAAACAACCACACACACACACACACACACACACACACACACACACACAAUCAGCUUCCAGUCUCCCCUUCAUUGUCUUUCCCCUCUGUGGUUACACUUUGCCUCUUAGAGCACAUUCCUCUCUCCACUGCAGCCUCACUGGUCUUUUUGAGCAGGUCAAAGGUAUUUUAGCUGGCAUGUUUUUCCCUGGAGUGUAUACACAGUUCUUUUCCAUAUCUCUUGUACGUUUUCCUGUGGUAUCCCUGUUUCAGUGAGGCCUUCACUAAGCUCCCUGCUUACAACUGUAACCCUGGCCCUUUCUUGUCACACACACACACACACACACACACACACACACACACACACACACACCUCCCUUCCUAUCUAGCACUGUCACUGUCUGUCAUACUAUGAAGUGCCAUUGUGGUGAGAUUAUAACUCCCUCACAGGAAGGGAGGUCUGCUGAGUCAGCAGGUAGACUAGUGCCUAGCACAUGACAGAGCCCCAGUGAACCUGCUGGGUGAGGAAUGGCUUGAAGAGCUGUGGAAGCAGCUGGAGGAAGUGCUAACAUUACCUAGAUGGAGAGGGGAGAGGCAGCAGUCAUGCUAGAGGGACGAGAGAACACUUCAGUAUUUCAGUGUUUCAGGAAGCGCAUAUCCUAUUGCAGCCAGCUCCGAGCAGAGGAAAGGUUCAACCUUCGUUCUCUCUUCCAAAUGAAGUCUGUAAUAGUUUUCUUUUCUUUCUGUAAAGGAGGCUCUGUUGAGCCUGUUUGGAAAAGUGAUGUCCUUUUAAAGAAUAUAUAAAGGCAGUCAUUUUAAAAAACUGAAUUACUGGGUUUUUUUUUCACUAAUAGUAUUCUAGAUUCGUGAGAACUCUUACAAAGAGUAAGAGACCUCCCAAAAUGGGGAAACAAUGUAGGGGAGAAGAAAGCUGAUUGUGUGUGUGUUUGUGUGUGUGUGUGUGUGUGUGUGUGUGUGUGUGUGUGUGUGUGUGUGUUGAGACAGUCUAACUACAGGGUGUCAUGAUGGAGCCUAGCCUGAGGUACCCACAAGGACUGGAGCUUAGGUGGUGCAGGGUAGACAGGCAUGUUCCUGAGAUGUUACUAGCAACCCCCUUCAAUCUGCCUCCCACCUGCUCCUGUCUUCGUGUCCAUCCGUUUUGCUGUGUGUUCCUUGCCAGUCCACAUGGCCCCAGAGGUUGUCAGCUGUGUGCAGAAUAUCUAUUUCUUAUCAGAUUUGGAGGUGUCAGCAUAGAGCACCGUUGCCUAAUUGGGUCUUGAUGAUUGAUGGUUUCAUCCAUGAACACUUCCAAUAUUACAAUGUGAGUAGCAUUUCCCUUGAAGCAAAGAGAAAAACAAAGACUUGCAGAUUUCCCCACACCCACAGCUCAUUUAAAAAGUUUAACUGAAAACUCUCCGAUUUAACCAAAGUAGCCGGUGACCCUUUUGAAGUUUCGAAAAUUUGACCCUUUAGUUUCUUAUUCUUUGCUUCCCUUCAAUGCCUAAGGAAAAAUCACCUCCAGAGAGCAGAAAUCACCAUGGACAGAAAUAGUAAAUGUUUGAGAUAUUUAAGAAAACAAAAUGGGAUAUUGAAGCCUGGGCAGGAAAGAGAAAAAGAAAGCAUAGAGAGCAGAGAGACGAAAUGUGUGUGAUCCAGGUCUUCAGUUUCUAUUGCAAGAUCAGCUUCCAUGGUGCCUCUGCUGGCUUUCCCUGCCUGGGGACUAUAUUGUGAUGGAAAGACCAAAGUGUCACGGGUGGUACAUGCUCGCUCAGCAGGGAGUGGAACUAUUAGAAGGUGGGGCCCUGUUGGAGUAUGUACGGCUAUGUUGGAGUAUGUACGGCCUUGUUGGAGUAGAAAUGUCAUUGUGGGUGUGGGCUUUAAUACCCACGGCCUUGCUUCCUGGAAGCCAGUAUUCUGCUGGCAGCCUUCAGAUGAAGAUGUAGAACUCUCAGCUCCUCCUGUACCAUGCCUGCCUGGAUGCUGCCAUGCUCCUGCCAUGAUGAUAAUGGACUGAACCUCUGAACCUUGUAAGCCAGCCCCAGUUAAAUGUUGUCCUUAUAAGAGUUGCCUUGGUCAUGGUGCCUGUUCACAUUAGUCAAACCCUAAGACAAGGUGAUACUGUGUCUUAAGUGUUUAAGCCGAGGUUUAAUCUCACAAUACCACAGGAGCGUGGUCUUUCACAGAGAGGUUCCCGAAGUGAGCCAGUGAAAUACAGUCCUAGAUAUUGGCAACUAUAGGCUUGGUAACAACACACAGACUAUCUAAAUUAAUCCGUACCAUCGGCCCCUUGGGCCCUAAAGCAACUGGAUUUGACUGGCUGCCUGGGGUAUUUCAUAGUUUGUUAACAAAUUUGCUGUGAACAGUCAUAUUUCUGUUGACUUUGGAAACCAGUAGAAAAAAAUGUUUUUAGUGCACAAAAUUAUUAUUCUUCUCUAACUAAUUUUCCCACUCUCUAGGUAGGUUGCUGGAUGCUUUGGGUUUAUCUUCUGGGCUGGGAAAUAAAGGUUCUUUUGUUGUUGUUGUUUUA
This is a long non-coding RNA of Mus musculus (house mouse), 18553 nucleotides long. RefSeq annotates it as predicted gene 42632. The record is from RefSeq and is a predicted model, not a curated record. The transcript has 2 exons. NCBI's taxonomy places the organism in Eukaryota, Metazoa, Chordata, Mammalia, Rodentia, Muridae.